ACUCAAAUGAAUAGACGGGGACCCGCACAAGCAGUGGAGUAUGUGGUUUAAUUCGAAGCAACGCGAAGAACCUUACCAGGGCUUGACAUGGGGACGACAGGUGCAGAGAUGCACCCUUCUUCGGACGUCCCACACAGGUGGUGCAUGGUUGUCGUCAGCUCGUGUCGUGAGAUGUUGGGUUAAGUCCCGCAACGAGCGCAACCCUUAUUGUUAGUUGCUACCAUUAAGUUGAGCACUCUAACGAGACUGCCGGUGACAAAUCGGAGGAAGGUGGGGACGACGUCAAAUCAUCAUGCCCCUUAUGUCCUGGGCUACACACGUACUACAAUGGCCGUCAACAACGGGCAGCGAAAUGGUGACAUGGAGCAAAUCCCCAAAAACGGCCUCAGUUCAGAUUGCAGGCUGAAACUCGCCUGCAUGAAGUAGGAAUUGCUAGUAAUCGCGAAUCAGCAUGUCGCGGUGAAUACGUUCCCGGGUCUUGCACACACCGCCCGU
Molecule: ribosomal RNA, 495 nt
Filed under: uncultured bacterium
Lineage: Bacteria
Description: bacterial SSU rRNA
Rfam family: Bacterial small subunit ribosomal RNA
Source: RNAcentral